Molecule: long non-coding RNA, 751 nt
Organism: Prosopis cineraria
Lineage: Eukaryota; Viridiplantae; Streptophyta; Magnoliopsida; Fabales; Fabaceae
Exons: 4
Source: RefSeq, a predicted model, not a curated record
UUAUUUUUCUGGUCAUGCAAAAUUACCAUAUUGCCAUUGGUUUCAUCAGAUUUUUUUUUAAAACUCUUUCUUUCUUCUUUCUCGAUGGAUCUGGACCAGAGAAAGAGCUUUGAGAGCACCGACGUUUUGCUCUGCCUCUCAACUGAAGCUACCUUCUUCCUCCUCCACCGAAGCCAGCAACAUCGUUCGUGUAGCCGCCGUUGAAGCUCUGCUUAUUUGCUCACCUCAGCUGUGAUUUUUUUCAAGUUCUUGCUGUUCAUCCGUCCACCUCUGCUGCUGAUUCAAGAAUGAAAAGUUUUUCUUUCUCUUAGCUUCUGGUUCGUUUUUCUUCACUGUUCAUCAUCGUCCUCCUUCCUCUGUCCGUGCGUGUUGAUUCAUUGGAGGGUGUGUGGAAGAACAAGACCCUGAAAAGACUUAAAAGAAGAAUACUUUCGGGAGUUUAGAACUUUAACAGAUUUGUUAGCUGACGCUGAUCCCACCAACGACCUCAAAAAGGGCAACUAGCUACAGAGGGUGGAUAUUUUGAUUAGUAUUGUUGCUUUAAUGUAAAUAUAUAAUCUGUAUGUCUUUUUGAUUUGAAAGCAGUAGCGGAUGCUCCACAUAGGUUGUUGAUGAAUUUUAUUUUUGGUUUGUAUAUUGAUAGCUGGCUGGAAGGAGCUAUGCUCCUGAAUUAUACUGUUAUUGUAAAAAUUUUUAUUGUAGAAUUUUCAGGAGAUCCUAAUUAUAAGGGAGGUUCUGCCGAAAUUUUUAC